RNAcentral lists this ribosomal RNA (381 nucleotides) under uncultured bacterium. RNAcentral describes it as "bacterial SSU rRNA". It matches the Rfam family "Bacterial small subunit ribosomal RNA", at positions 30 to 414 of the family's 1533-position model. The record is from RNAcentral.
AUUGAACGCUGGCGGCAUGCCUUACACAUGCAAGUCGAACGGCAGCACGGGAGCAAUCCUGGUGGCGAGUGGCGAACGGGUGAGUAAUAUAUCGGAACGUGCCCAGUCGUGGGGAUAACGUAGCGAAAGCUACGCUAAUACCGCAUACGAUCUAUGGAUGAAAGCGGGGGAUCGCAAGACCUCGCGCGAUUGGAGCGGCCGAUAUCAGAUUAGGUAGUUGGUGAGGUAAAGGCUCACCAAGCCGACGAUCUGUAGCUGGUCUGAGAGGACGACCAGCCACACUGGGACUGAGACACGGCCCAGACUCCUACGGAGGCAGCAGUGGGAAUUUUGGACAAUGGGCGCAAGCCUGAUCCAGCAAUGCCGCGUGCAGGAUGAAGG